Molecule: ribosomal RNA, 468 nt
Filed under: uncultured bacterium
Lineage: Bacteria
Description: partial 16S ribosomal RNA
Rfam family: Bacterial small subunit ribosomal RNA
Source: RNAcentral
GACGAACGCUGGCGGCGUGCUUAACACAUGCAAGUCGAACGGAAAGGCCCUGCUUUUGUGGGGUGCUCGGUUGGCGAACGGGGGAGGAACACGUAAGUAACCUACCCUUCACUUUGGGGUAACUUCAGGAAACUGGGGCUAAGACCGGAUAGGAUCUCCUGCUGCAUGGUGGGGGGGGGAAAGUCUCGGCGGGUGGGGAUGGACUCGCGGCUUACGGGCUUGUUGGUGGGGUAGGGGCUUACCAAGGCUGGGACGGGUAGCCGGCCUGAGAGGGUGACCGGCGACAUUGGGCCUGCGAUACGCACCAGACUCGUACGGGAGGCAGUAGUCGGAAGUAUUGCCCAGUGGGCGGGCGUCUGAUGCGGAAACGCCGGGUGUGGGAAGACGGCCUUCGGGGUGUGAACCGCAUUCGGCUAUGACGAAGCGUGAGUGACGGUACUGGGUAAAGAAGCACCGGCUAACUACGUG